AAACUAAUUUAUUUUGGCGGCAUUCAAUCUUAUUAGAGGAACUUGUUUAAUAAUCGAUAAUCCACGUUAAUCUUCACUUUAAUCUAAAAUCUAUAUACCGCCAUCUUAAAAAUAAAUUUCAAAAUAUUUCUUUAAAAACAAAUAAAAUAUUAGGUCAAGGUGUAAUUUAUAUUAAAGAACAAAUGAGUUACAUUAAAUAAAAUUCAAAGAUUAUAUAUAUAUAUAUAUAUACAAAUAAGAAUUUAAAAGUAAUAUUAAAAUAAUAUUUAAAUAUGAUAUAAACAAUAAAUGUGCACACAUCGCCC
RNAcentral lists this ribosomal RNA (305 nucleotides) under Draconarius sp. ZZ943. RNAcentral's name for it is "partial 12S ribosomal RNA". Lineage: Eukaryota; Metazoa; Arthropoda; Arachnida; Araneae; Agelenidae. The record is from RNAcentral.